GGACUACACGGGUUUCUAAUCCCGUUUGCUCCCCUGGCUUUCGUGCCUGAGCGUCAGGAACUGUCCAGAGACUCGCCUUCGCCACCGGUGUUCUGGUCGAUCUCUACGCAUUUCACCGCUACACCGACCAUUCCAGUCUCCUCUCCAGUCCUCGAGCCUGCCAGUUUCCAAUGACUUGUCACAGUUAGGCUGUGAAAUUUCACACCGGACUUAACAGACCGCCUGCGCACCCUUUACGCCCAAUGAAUCCGAACAACGCUUGCAGUCUCUGUAUUACCGCGGCGGCUGGCAC
Molecule: ribosomal RNA, 292 nt
Filed under: uncultured Verrucomicrobiota bacterium
Lineage: Bacteria; Pseudomonadati; Verrucomicrobiota
Description: uncultured Verrucomicrobia bacterium partial 16S ribosomal RNA
Source: RNAcentral